CAGGUUAUCUAUUAGUUAGGGUUUUCUUUUACAUUGAAAAUUUUUUUGUGCAAUUCAUUAUGACUUGA
Molecule: transfer RNA, 68 nt
Filed under: Balta dissecta
Lineage: Eukaryota; Metazoa; Arthropoda; Insecta; Blattodea; Pseudophyllodromiidae
Description: tRNA-Val
Source: RNAcentral